UAGCAUAUCAAUAAGCGGAGGAAAAGAAACCAACAGGGAUUGCCUUAGUAACGGCGAGUGAAGCGGCAACAGCUCAAAUUUGAAAGCUGGCUCCUUCGGAGUCCGCGUUGUAAUUUGUAGAGGAUGAUUCGGCGAGGGCUCCCGCCUAAGUCCCCUGGAACGGGGCGUCAUAGAGGGUGAGAAUCCCGUAUGCGGUGGGUUGCCUUAGCCAUGUGAAUCUCCUUCGACGAGUCGAGUUGUUUGGGAAUGCAGCUCUAAAUGGGAGGUAAAUUUCUUCUAAAGCUAAAUACCGGCCAGAGACCGAUAGCGCACAAGUAGAGUGAUCGAAAGAUGAAAAGCACUUUGGAAAGAGAGUUAAAAAGUACGUGAAAUUGUUGAAAGGGAAGCGCUUGCAGCCAGACUUGUCCGCAGUUGCUCAACCGGUCUCCUGACCGGUGUACUCUUCUGCGGCCAGGCCAGCAUCAGUUCGGGCGGUCGGAUAAAGGCCCUGGGAAUGUAGCUCCUCUCGGGGAGUGUUAUAGCCCAGGGUGGAAUGCGGCCAGCCUGGACUGAGGAUCUCGCUUCGGCUAGGAUGCUGGCGUAAUGGCUGUAAGCGGCCCGUCUUGAAACACGGACCAAGGAGUCUAACAUCUAUGCGAGUGUUUGGGUGUCAAACCCAUGCGCGUAAUGAAAGUGAACGGAGGUGGGAACCCUCACGGGUGCACCAUCGACCGAUCCUGAUGUCUUCGGAUGGAUUUGAGUAAGAGCAUAGCUGUUGGGACCCGAAAGAUGGUGAACUAUGCCUGAAUAGGGUGAAGCCAGAGGAAACUCUGGUGGAGGCUCGCAGCGGUUCUGACGUGCAAAUCGAUCGUCAAAUUUGGGUAUAGGGGCGAAAGACUAAUCGAACCAUCUAGUAGCUGGUUCUGCGAU
Molecule: ribosomal RNA, 909 nt
Filed under: Macrophomina phaseolina
Lineage: Eukaryota; Fungi; Ascomycota; Dothideomycetes; Botryosphaeriales; Botryosphaeriaceae
Description: LSU rRNA
Rfam family: Eukaryotic large subunit ribosomal RNA
Source: RNAcentral